This 492-nucleotide ribosomal RNA is filed under the name uncultured bacterium. RNAcentral's name for it is "partial 16S ribosomal RNA". It matches the Rfam family "Bacterial small subunit ribosomal RNA", at positions 29 to 507 of the family's 1533-position model. The record is from RNAcentral.
AGUGAACGCUGGCGGUAGGCCUAACACAUGCAAGUCGAACGGCAGCACAGUAAGAGCUUGCUCUUACGGGUGGCGAGUGGCGGACGGGUGAGGAAUACAUCGGAAUCUACUUUUUCGUGGGGGAUAACGUAGGGAAACUUACGCUAAUACCGCAUACGACCUACGGGUGAAAGCAGGGGAUCUUCGGACCUUGCGCGAUUGAAUGAGCCGAUGUCGGAUUAGCUAGUUGGCGGGGUAAAGGCCCACCAAGGCGACGAUCCGUAGCUGGUCUGAGAGGAUGAUCAGCCACACUGGAACUGAGACACGGUCCAGACUCCUACGGGAGGCAGCAGUGGGGAAUAUUGGACAAUGGGCGCAAGCCUGAUCCAGUCAUACCGCGUGGGUGAAGAAGGCCUUCGGGUUUUAAAGCCCUUUUGUUGGGAAAGAAAAGCAGCAGGUUAAUACCCCGCUGUUCUGACGGUACCCAAAGAAUAAGCACCGGCUAACUUCGUG